AUACGUAGGGCGCGGGCGUUGUCCGGAAUUAUUGGGCGUAAAGAGCUCGUAGGCGGCCGGUCGCGUCUGCCGUGAAAGCCCACGGCUCAACCGUGGGACUGCGGUGGAUACGGGCCGGCUAGAGGCAGGCAGGGGCAAGUGGAAUUCCUGGUGUAGCGGUGAAAUGCGCAGAUAUCAGGAGGAACACCGGUGGCGAAGGCGGCUUGCUGGGCCUGUCCUGACGCUGAGGAGCGAAAGCGUGGGGAGCGAACAGGAUUAGAUACCCUGGUAGUCCACGCCGUAAACGUUGGGCGCUAGGUGUGGGGCCUUUCCACGGGCUCCGUGCCGUAGCUAACGCAUUAAGCGCCCCGCCUGGGGAGUACGGCCGCAAGGCUAAA
Molecule: ribosomal RNA, 377 nt
Filed under: uncultured bacterium
Lineage: Bacteria
Description: bacterial SSU rRNA
Rfam family: Bacterial small subunit ribosomal RNA
Source: RNAcentral